UCCCUGGAGGACUAGUGGUUAGGCCACAGUGCUCUCACCACUACAGUCCAGGUUCGAUCCCUGCCCAGGGAA
This 72-nucleotide transfer RNA is filed under the name Pangasianodon hypophthalmus (striped catfish). It matches the Rfam family "tRNA". Rfam says of the family: Transfer RNA (tRNA) molecules are approximately 80 nucleotides in length. Their secondary structure includes four short double-helical elements and three loops (D, anti-codon, and T loops). The record is from Rfam by way of RNAcentral. Lineage: Eukaryota; Metazoa; Chordata; Actinopteri; Siluriformes; Pangasiidae.